AGUUGAUUAACAAGGAUCUUUACUUUAUUGAUAUGAGCCAUGAGAUCUUCACCUUCUUCCAUCUUGCAAGUGAAGAAUUUCCUUCUUGUGAAGAUGAUAUUGGACAAAUUCUUGCUCUCAUAUAUGUUGCAAAGAGUUUUUGAUGCUUUUGCUGGUCUUUUACAAGAGAUGAUGUGAUAAAAGUUAGCUUCAUCCAAAUUGGUGGAAAUCAUGCCAAAAGCCUUCUUUUCACAUCUUCUGAAGUCUUUCUUCUCUUUAGCAUCAGCAUGGGUGCUUGGAGGCUCUUCACUUUCAUCUACAAUGUUUCAAAGGUCCAAAGAUGCCAACAAAAGCUCCAUUUUGACCUUCCAAUGGUAGAAAUUGUCACCUCUAAAUUUCUCAAUUACUCUCAAAUCUUUACCUUCACUUAAAGCCAUGUCUUAGAAGAGGUCUAUCAAAAAAUAUCAAGAAAAGGAGUCUCUAUAUGCUUAAAAUCACCAAAACAAUUUUAUACAAGUAAAAUCUCUGAAUGCCCUCUUGUAAACAAAUGAAUGUUUCUUCACUCCAAACACUCCUAAAUCAACUUUUGAAGCUUCUAUUAAGUAUGUGAACUCCAAUCAACCUCACCAUCAAGUUCUUCCACUCAUAAUACUCAUUUUUUCACUACAACACCAAAGACACUAUCAAAGUCUUUGUAUAAGAU
This 682-nucleotide long non-coding RNA is filed under the name Physcomitrium patens. RNAcentral describes it as "long non-coding RNA (PPAT_LNC007666)". The record is from RNAcentral. Lineage: Eukaryota; Viridiplantae; Streptophyta; Bryopsida; Funariales; Funariaceae.